RNAcentral lists this ribosomal RNA (423 nucleotides) under uncultured prokaryote. RNAcentral describes it as "bacterial SSU rRNA". It matches the Rfam family "Bacterial small subunit ribosomal RNA", at positions 355 to 796 of the family's 1533-position model. The record is from RNAcentral.
UCGGGAAUCUUGCACAAUGGGCGAAAGCCUGAUGCAGCAACGCCGUGUGAGCGAGGAAGGUUUUCGGAUCGUAAACUUCUGAACGAGGGGCGAAUAAUGACGGUACCUCGCUAAAAGCACCGGCUAACUCCGUGCCAGCAGCCGCGGUAAUACGGAGGGUGCAAGCGUUAUCCGGAAUCACUGGGCGUAAAGGGCACGUAGGCGGUCUAGUAAGUCCGAUGUUAAAGCGUGGGGCUCAACCCCAUCACGGCGUUGGAUACUGCUAGGCUUGACGACUGGAGAGGUGAGUAGAAUUACCAGUGUAGCGGUGGAAUGCGUAGAUACUGGUAGGAAUACCCAUUGCGAAGGCAGCUCACUGGACAGUACGUGACGCUGAGGUGCGAAAGUGUGGGGAGCAAACCGGAUUAGAUACCCCUGUAGUCC